This 254-nucleotide ribosomal RNA is filed under the name uncultured bacterium. RNAcentral describes it as "partial 16S ribosomal RNA". It matches the Rfam family "Bacterial small subunit ribosomal RNA", at positions 524 to 776 of the family's 1533-position model. The record is from RNAcentral.
UACGUAGGGUGCGAGCGUUGUCCGGAAUUAUUGGGCGUAAAGAGCUUGUAGGCGGUUUUGUCGCGUCUGCCGUGAAAUUUCGAGGCUCAACCUCGAACUUGCGGUGGGGUACGGGCAGACUAGAGUGUGGUAGGGGAGACUGGAAUCCUGGUGGAGCGGUGAAAUGCGUAGAGAUUGGAAAGAACACCGAUGGCGAAGGCACUUUACUGGGCUAUUACUAACACUCAGAGACGAAAGCUAGGGUAGCAAAUGGG